This 492-nucleotide ribosomal RNA is filed under the name uncultured bacterium. RNAcentral describes it as "partial 16S ribosomal RNA". It matches the Rfam family "Bacterial small subunit ribosomal RNA", at positions 29 to 507 of the family's 1533-position model. The record is from RNAcentral.
AGUGAACGCUGGCGGUAGGCCUAACACAUGCAAGUCGAACGGCAGCACAGUAAGAGCUUGCUCUUACGGGUGGCGAGUGGCGGACGGGUGAGGAAUACAUCGGAAUCUACUUUUUCGUGGGGGAUAACGUAGGGAAACUUACGCUAAUACCGCAUACGACCUACGGGUGAAAGCAGGGGAUCUUCGGACCUUGCGCGAUUGAAUGAGCCGAUGCCGGAUUAGCUAGUUGGCGGGGUAAAGGCCCACCAAGGCGACGAUCCGUAGCUGGUCUGAGAGGAUGAUCAGCCACAUUGGCACUGAGACACGGUCCAGACUCCUACGGGAGGCAGCAGUGGGGAAUAUUGGACAAUGCGCGCAAGCCUGAUCCAGCCAUACCGCGUGGGUGAAGAAGGCCUUCGGGUUGUAAAGCCCUUUUGUUGGUAAAGAACAGCAGCAGGUUAAUACCCCGCUGUUCUGACGGUACCCAAAGAAUAAGCACCGGCUAACUUCGUG